CAGCGCUUGCUCUCCGUUGGUCUGGUUGGCCGCAUGGAGCCCGAGCUGGAGCACACACUGCGCAGGGUACCAGGGUUCCAGGGAGGCCGUGAGCUGGGGACACACCACGUUGUGUGAAUGUGUGUGUGCAUGCACACAUAUGUAUGUGUAUUUGACCUGGACUUUCUCUGUGUAUAUGAGUGUGUUUGUGUCUGUGUAUAUAUAUCCUUUGUGUAAGUGAGGGUACUUGGUUCUGUGUCUGGGAAUGGUUGAGUGUGUGUGUUUCUGAGUGCGUGUAAAUAUCUAUGUGUGGGUGUGUGUUUACGGGUAUGGGGGGUGGGUGUUUAUGUGUGUAUAUGUGUGUGCACGCUCACGUGCACACCAGGGGAAAGGAAGGAUCCGUGUUCCAGAACGCAGGGCAUUUUCCCCACACCUUCAGGCAUUCUCCUCCCCAGAGGCCCCCUCGUGGAGCAGCUUUGCGGGACCUGAGAACCCAGAGAUGAGCUUCCUAGGGCAAGGAGACAGCACUUCAUGGCCAUCGCCAGCCAUGACCGCCAGCUCAGAAAGAAGCCAUGGGAAGCGGGGGGCCAAGGCCUCAAGAUGGACAAGGCAGGAGGCUGUGGAGGAAGAGGACCUGCCAGGCCUGGGGGAAGAAGGUCCCCAAUCCAGGCCAGCUGCUGAGUACAUUGGGCUGGAGGCCACAUUCCCCAAGGCCACACCCUUGGCCCAGGCUGCUCCCUUGGACACCAUCCCCUCUGAGUGCGCAGCCUCAGCCCCUGGCUCCAGCGCAGACGGUCUGGAGCUGGGCGAAGAGGUCCCGGCCUCAGCCGCCUGCAGGUAUGAGCUCGGCCUGCUGGAAGAGGGGCCUGCCCGCUGCGCGCCCCUGCAGGCCCCGUUACCCAGGCAGGGCUUGGACGAUGAGCUGCAGAAACCAGGCGCCCAGGUCUACAUGCACUUCAUGCAGAAGCACACCUGCUACGAUGCCAUGGCAACCAGCUCCAAGCUGGUCAUCUUUGACACCACGCUGGAGAUCAAGAAGGCCUUCUUCGCCCUGGUGGCCAACGGUGUCCGGGCAGCACCUCUGUGGGACAGCAAGAAGCAGAGCUUUGUGGGGAUGCUGACCAUCACAGACUUCAUCUUGGUGCUGCAUCGGUAUUACAGGUCCCCCCUGGUCCAGAUCUAUGAGAUUGAAGAACAUAAGAUUGAGACCUGGAGGGAGAUCUACCUUCAAGGCUGUGUCAAGCCUCUGGUCUCCAUCUUUCCCAAUGACAGCCUGUUCGAAGCCGUCUAUACCCUCAUCAAGAACCGGAUCCACCGUCUGCCUGUCCUGGACCCAGUCUCAGGCGACGUGCUCCACAUCAUCACGCACAAGCGGCUACUCAAGUUCCUGCACAUCUUUGGCGCCCUGCUGCCCCAGCCCUCCUUCCUCUCCCGAACCAUCCAAGAUUUGGGCAUCGGCACAUUCCGAGACUUGGCCGUGGUGCUUGAAACGGCCCCUGUCCUGACCGCACUGGACAUCUUUGUGGACCGGCAUGUGUCUGCGCUGCCUGUGGUCAACGAAGACGGUCAGGUUGUGGGCCUAUACUCCCGCUUUGAUGUGAUCCACCUGGCUGCCCAGCAAACCUACAACCACCUAGACAUGAGUGUGGGUGAAGCUCUGAGGCAAAGGACGCUGUGUCUGGAGGGAGUUCUCUCCUGCCACCCUGAGGAGACCUUGGGGGAAGUCAUUGACCGGAUUGUCCGGGAACAGGUACACCGGUUGGUGCUAGUGGAUGAGAGCCAGCAUCUCCUGGGCGUGGUGUCCCUCUCCGAUAUCCUUCAGGCACUGGUGCUCAGUCCUGCUGGCAUUGAGGCCCUCAGUGCCUGAGAAGAUCCGAGUCCUCAUUCCCAGGACACCUUCCACACCCGGAGCCCACGGAGGGAGCUGGGGCAUCGGCCUUCAUCUUCACCCACCCCCGUUAGCUGGUUCGGCUCUGGUUCAGGCUUCUCCAGCCCUCCCUAAAUGCCCUUGCCCUGUCUAUGCUCCCAGAAGCCCUCGGGAAUGCCCAGUGCACUAUGGGAUGAUGAAAUUAAGGAGAAAACCUGAGUCAAGCCUAGAGGUCCCUGAACCAGAGGCCUUGGGAUUGCCCCAGGGCCAACUGCUCCAUGUCCACACACGUCACUUUCCCCUCUGCCCCACUGGGGCGGCAAGCCCAUGGAUUUAGUCAGGGGCUCUGGAUCCUUCGGCUUGUGGACUACCUGCUGCUCUGUGUCCCAGCUCCUGAGAGUCCUGGCUGUUCUUCCCCUGAGAACUGCCUUACUGGUUCCCACAGCUUUGCCACUGCCCCUCUCCUCCCCCUGCAUUGACAUUUCGGGGCUGCUGGGGGCUCCAUGGAGCAAGAGAUAUUUGCAGAGCUGCCUGUGGGAGUGGGGUCUUCCCUCCAUUCGCGUGCUCAGCUCUCACCAGCAGUGUUCUUGGUGCCCAGGGAUGGCCCUACAUUCAGAUCACUGAGGAGGAAUGAUAGACAAGCACAAAAAAGAACAGCCCAGGAACUUAGAUUUUAUGUUCCACUCAGAAAAUGCUACAGUCGUUUGACUUGAACUUGUGGCAAGAUCCCUGUACUUUCUGAUUUCAAAGACACCAAGGAAGAUCUGUAACUGGCAAACAGCCCGAGUGCAUUUCUUUUGUUCACAGAGUGUUAUUCCUCUGACAUUUCUUUUUCAUCUUUUGUUUAUAGAAAAAAACAUAAAAUGUUAGUUACUUGCACAGUAGCUACAACUCACUCCAUAAACUCUAUCAUUUGCACGACACUUCUUUGUUUUUUCUAACACUGAGUAUAAUUUCCAUUAUGAAG
This is an RNA transcript of Pteronotus mesoamericanus, 2813 nucleotides long. It is a transcript of the gene named protein kinase AMP-activated non-catalytic subunit gamma 3, with no coding region annotated. The transcript is spliced from 13 exons. Lineage: Eukaryota; Metazoa; Chordata; Mammalia; Chiroptera; Mormoopidae. The record is from RefSeq and is a predicted model, not a curated record.